UUAUUGGAGAGUUUGAUCCUGGCUCAGGAUGAACGCUGGCGGCGUGCCUAAUACAUGCAAGUCGAGCGAAUGGAUUGAGAGCUUGCUCUCAAGAAGUUAGCGGCGGACGGGUGAGUAACACGUGGGUAACCUGCCCAUAAGACUGGGAUAACUCCGGGAAACCGGGGCUA
This 170-nucleotide ribosomal RNA is filed under the name Bacillus cereus. RNAcentral describes it as "partial 16S ribosomal RNA". It matches the Rfam family "Bacterial small subunit ribosomal RNA", at positions 1 to 165 of the family's 1533-position model. RNAcentral also lists the same sequence under 1 other name. The record is from RNAcentral. Lineage: Bacteria; Bacillati; Bacillota; Bacilli; Caryophanales; Bacillaceae.